This 216-nucleotide small RNA is filed under the name Castor canadensis (American beaver). RNAcentral describes it as "7SK RNA (ENSCCNG00000025689.1)". The stretch from base 11 to 91 matches the Rfam family "7SK RNA", at positions 13 to 93 of the family's 331-position model. The record is from RNAcentral. Lineage: Eukaryota; Metazoa; Chordata; Mammalia; Rodentia; Castoridae.
GCAUGUAGAGGAUUUGGCUUGUACAUCUGUCCCCAAAUUAAUUGCCAGGGUUGAUUUGGCUGAUCUAAUUGGCUAGACCACUGUCUCUCUCACUGCUCCCUGGGUAUUUCUCCAUAUGGAGUUAUUUAAUUAGACAGAAAUAAAACUCCUCAUCCAUCCAUUCAACAAAGAUUUAUUAGUUGUCCACCAUGUGCACUGGGUGAGUUGCGGAGGGAU